ACAAACUUGGUCAUUUAGAGGAAGUAAAAGUCGUAACAAGGUUUCCGUAGGUGAACCUGCGGAAGGAUCAUUCAUAACAGGCCCAGUAUGGGGGCCCCUUUAAAUUUCCAUAUUCUUCACCUUGUGUGCAAUGUUUUUUAACAUAUUUAAACGCUUAAAAUUUUUUUUAAAUUGUCUGAAAUAAAUAUUGUGAAUUUUUUUUUUUUAAUUCAAAAUACAACUUUCAACAACGGAUCUCUUGGCUCUCGCAUCGAUGAAGAACGCAGC
RNAcentral lists this unclassified non-coding RNA (267 nucleotides) under uncultured fungus. Its description in RNAcentral is "partial contains small subunit ribosomal RNA, internal transcribed spacer 1, and 5.8S ribosomal RNA". The stretch from base 1 to 73 matches the Rfam family "Eukaryotic small subunit ribosomal RNA", at positions 1759 to 1831 of the family's 1831-position model. Lineage: Eukaryota; Fungi. The record is from RNAcentral.